UACGAAGGGGGCUAGCGUUGCUCGGAAUCACUGGGCGUAAAGGGCGCGUAGGCGGCCAUUCAAGUCAGAGGUGAAAGCCCAAGGCUCAACCUUGGAACUGCCUUUGAUACUGUUUGGCUUGAGACCGGUAGAGGUAAGUGGAACUGCGAGUGUAGAGGUGAAAUUCGUAGAUAUUCGCAAGAACACCAGUGGCGAAGGCGGCUUACUGGACCGGUUCUGACGCUGAGGCGCGAAAGCGUGGGGAG
This 245-nucleotide ribosomal RNA is filed under the name uncultured Methylobacterium sp. RNAcentral's name for it is "partial 16S ribosomal RNA". It matches the Rfam family "Bacterial small subunit ribosomal RNA", at positions 524 to 768 of the family's 1533-position model. Lineage: Bacteria; Pseudomonadati; Pseudomonadota; Alphaproteobacteria; Hyphomicrobiales; Methylobacteriaceae. The record is from RNAcentral.